UAAAAUGAGUGUCUCUUCUAUCUCAAAAUUUGAUUCUAUGAAGAGUAGGGACUGAACCUGUGAUUUCAUUGCUGUCUCAAAGUCUGAGAUGCAAGCGUGCUUCUACCAGUACAGGUUGGUGUCUUUGCAAGUUUAUAGCCUUGAAAAGUUUCUAACAGCACUUAAUGGGUAAGUAACUUGCCCGUGGUCACCCAACUAUUAUGUGUCAGAGGCAAAUCUUGACCCCGGGUCUUCCUGGCUCCAAUGCCAGCUCUCUGCCCAUUAAACCUAUAUAGAUACAGGGCAAAACUGUCAUGCAGCCAAGCUAUGUGAGUCUUGGAGCCCAAUGACCUCAGGGUAGAAGAAGGAUCAAAAUACUCAAUCACUCGAACUCCCAAUGGGAUGGCAAGAGCCUGAUGGCAUGAUACAGCGCAGAUAGAUACAGAACGUUCCGCCACUUCCAAAACACGAAUAGAAAGUACCAAGUUUAUACCUACAGAGAAGGAUCGAUUCUGCUUGGGACGGGAUGCGUUUGGUCGAAGAUCAGAUGGUAACAUAGUAGAAGCCUGUGACUGCUGAAUGGGACAGGCAUGACUCUUCCCCAAAUGAGCUCUCCUUCUCCUCUUCAGUCUUCCAUGCUUGCAAAGGACAACUGGAGGUGCACUGGUGAACAGAACCAAAGUGUCUUCUUACUAUCCCCCUUAUACAGUCCUGCAUAUUCAACUCCUAAACCUGAAAACAGAAUCAACAAAGGGAGGACAAUUUGUGUAUGGAUAUUGCUAUUUCCCAGCCUGCCUGCCUGUCUGACUCCUUUUCCCACUGGAUACUCAGUUAUAAAGGGAAAGCUGAACUUUUCUUCGUGGCCUAUGGAUGCUGCUUGGAAAAACGACUAAGGGCCACCAGCUCCCUAUCUGCAAAUAUUCUGAGGGGGGAAAAGCAAUGAAAGGAGUCUCGCCUGACAGAUUUCAGGAAUACAAGGUGAAAUGCAAAUGACAAGCAGAAUUUGAGAUCAGUUCUAAUGACUACUGUAGACCAUCAAUCAGUUAAUAAACAUUUAUUAAAUGCUGCUAUGUGCCA
This 1056-nucleotide long non-coding RNA is filed under the name Monodelphis domestica (gray short-tailed opossum). RNAcentral's name for it is "lncRNA (ENSMODG00000049546.1)". The record is from RNAcentral. Lineage: Eukaryota; Metazoa; Chordata; Mammalia; Didelphimorphia; Didelphidae.